This 71-nucleotide transfer RNA is filed under the name Decapterus macarellus (mackerel scad). RNAcentral's name for it is "tRNA-Pro". It matches the Rfam family "tRNA". Rfam says of the family: Transfer RNA (tRNA) molecules are approximately 80 nucleotides in length. The record is from RNAcentral. Lineage: Eukaryota; Metazoa; Chordata; Actinopteri; Carangiformes; Carangidae.
CAGAGAAUAGUUUAAUGUUAGAAUCCUAGCUUUGGGAGUUAGGGGCAGGGGUUAGAGUCUCCUUUUUCUGA